RNAcentral lists this ribosomal RNA (253 nucleotides) under uncultured bacterium. RNAcentral describes it as "partial 16S ribosomal RNA". It matches the Rfam family "Bacterial small subunit ribosomal RNA", at positions 524 to 776 of the family's 1533-position model. The record is from RNAcentral.
UACGAAGGGUGCAAGCGUUACUCGGAAUUACUGGGCGUAAAGCGUGCGUAGGUGGUUUUUUAAGUCCGUUGUGAAAGCCCUGGGCUCAACCUGGGAAUGGCAGUGGAUACUGGAAAGCUAGAGUGCGGUAGAGGGUAGUGGAAUUCCCGGUGUAGCAGUGAAAUGCGUAGAGAUCGGGAGGAACACCAGUGGCGAAGGCGGCUACCUGGACCAGCACUGACACUGAGGCACGAAAGCGUGGGGAGCAAACAGG